This is a long non-coding RNA of Homo sapiens (human), 4442 nucleotides long. RefSeq lists it as uncharacterized. The record is from RefSeq and is a predicted model, not a curated record. NCBI's taxonomy places the organism in Eukaryota, Metazoa, Chordata, Mammalia, Primates, Hominidae. The transcript is spliced from 2 exons.
AUAUAUAAAAGAAGGCAUUUAUUAGGGGAAUUGGCUCAUGCAAUUACAGAGACUGAGAAGUCCCACCACAGGCCUUCUGCAAACUGCAAACUGGAGACCUUGGGAUGCUGGUAAAGUGGCUCAGUCCAGGUCCAAAAGCUUCAGAACCAGGGAAAUCAAUGGUGUAACUCUCAGUCUGAGGCUGAAGGCCUGAAAACCUUCUUAGGUGGAGUUGGGACUGCUGAUGUUAAGUCCUGGAGUCCCAAGGCUGAAGAGCUGUGGGUCUUGAUGUCCAAGGGCAGGAGCAGAAGAGUGUGUCUCAGCUCAAGGAACGAGAGGAAAUCCUUUCCUCUGCCUUUGUUUCAUCCUGGUCCCCAGCCAGUUGGAUGUUGCCUGCCCACACUGAAGGCAGAUCUUCUUCACUCAGUCUACUGACUCACAUGCCAGUCUACCCUGGAAAUACCGUCCAGGAAACACCUAGAAUUAAUGCUUUACCACUUCUCUAGGUAUUUCUUAAUCCAUUCAAAUUGGCACCUAAAAUUAACCAUCACUGCAUUUUUAAAAUAUUGAAUGCUCUAUCAUCUGGGAUCUAAAACAGUACCUGCCACAAAAUAGGCGUUCAGUAGACAUAUGUUGAAUGAGUGAAUGAAUGAAUUUAUAUCUGAAUCAUUUUAACAAAUAAGAAAUGUAUGUGGUACAUUCUAGACAGAAAUUCCUGAGAACAGAUGUUCUGCAUGAAAACACGAAAGCACUAAAUAUUUUUAAAACAAUCUGUUAAUAAAAAUAACACAAAUUAGCAACCAAAUACAUCUGAAAUUGAAAUAAUUGCUAAUUUAGCAGAGAAAAGGUCAAUAUAUAAUGUAAUUGAUCUUUGUCCUUCCCUACUAUACACCUUUCAGACAAUGGGUGUUGAAAGUACCAAUUUUCUGAAUUAACAGCUAAUAGAUUUUUAUCUUCAGUAAUAAUACUCUACACUUAUGUGACACUUUAUAGAUUACAAAAUAUAUUUCAUUGUCACAUUUGAUUAUUAUACAAACAAAAUAUUUUAUGUGCUUAUAGUUGGGUUACAUGCUAUUGAAUACAAAAGAAAUAAAGAUGGAGUGUCAGAGUAUGCUAGUGAACUUCCAGAAUCUGUUUCUUCUUUCAUAGAAACAAAAUUACCAAUUUUGAGCUGGACAUAGACCAACAACUAAAAUAUGUGAUAAUAUUCACACUGUCCUGCAACAAAGCUAAGAAAAUUCCAUUUUGGUCAAUGGAAUUUAAGUGAAAGUGUAGACAACUCGUCCCUUAAAGGGAAGAGACAUGCACUUUUUUUAUCCCUCCCUACACCUUGGAAUGUAUAUAUAAUGGCUGGAUCGCUAGCGUUUAUUUUAACCAUGAAAACAAGGGCCACAACUGUGUUCAUCUUAUCCUCCAUUGUAUUUCCAAUACUCAGCACAAGCCAUGGAACAUAGUAGGUAUACAAUAAAUAUUGUCUGAAAAAAUGAAUACACAUGAUUUCCUUUAUCAGUUUCUCUUCUACUUCUACUUUCUUCUUGGAGAGGCCUGGACAAUUAUAUUCUUAGGAAGUAGGUAUGAUAAUAGAGAUAAUAAAUGUCCACAUUUGCAGUCCCAUGCCAUGCCACAAAUCAUCUCUAGCCACUUACACAGUUCAUUAGCUCCAUAAAACUACAGAACUCUUAGGAAUUCCCCAUUUGUAAUUCUUGGGAGAGUCACUGAGUGUAAGCCUUCACCAUAGCAUAAGGAACUUGUGCAAGAUAAUUUUUUUUUUUUCUUUUUUUGAGACAGAGUCUCACUCUGUUGCCAGGCUGGAGUGCAGUGGUGCAAUAUCCGUUCACUGCAAUCUCUGCCUCCCAGGUUCAAGUGAUUCUCCUGCCUCAGCCUCCCAAGUAGCUGGGAUUACAAGUGAACGCCACCACGCCCAGCCAGUUUUUGUAAUUUUAGUAGAGACGGGGUUUCACCAUAAUGGCCAGGAUGGUCUCCAUCUCCUGAGCUCGUGAUCCACCCGCCUCGGCCUCCUAAAGUGCUGUGGGAUUACAGGCAUGAGCCGCCGUGCCCAGCCAAGAGAAUUUACGUCACUAGGUGGACACCAGAUAAGAUAUAUUUUAGUAAGUUAAUUUUAGUAAAUUAAUUUAGUAAGUUAAUUUGAGAAAAGGAAGCAGAAGACCUAAUGAGACACAAAGUAUGAUCAGAGACAGAGAGCAGAGAAGAAUUAAUGUCAGGAGGGAACAGAGGUCUGCCAUUGGGGUAUAAUUCAUGUCUCAGAGGCCGGCAGAGUAGGUGUUGGGGCUGGGGCUGCUGCAUAGGCAGUAACUUUUGCCCCCAGAGUUCUCACAGGUAUCAUUCAGUCACUGACAAUUUCUGCGAUUUUAUGACCAACUUUAUUUAAAAGUUCAUUUUGCAGUAUCUGUCUCUUGUCAUUGCAUAUUGUUUCAAGGUGUAAUUAUUCUAAAGCUUUUGAGAAAAGAUAUAGAUAUAUUUUAUGGCUAUACAGCAUAUUUCCAAGAUCAUUUAAAAUAUCCUAAACUCACAAACUUCCAAAGUUUCUUAGUAAAUUGCUCAGGUAAAAUAACAUUAGUGUAGUAUCAGAAAGGCUUCAAGGAACUUUAUACAAAGUAAUAGCGUGUUUCUACUACCUUACUGAUUUGAAAGAUAAUGCUUAGCAACAUCCAAUAAAAUAUCUUGAAAUAUUAAGGAUUCUCAGUCUUACUGGACCCCAGAUGGACCCACUGCCUAUUUUUUAUAAAAGAUGGAUUUUGUGUGUGUGUUUAAUGGUGGUAUUUUUUGCAGUAGCUAAUGCCAAGAUUUCAGUAGAGAAAUUUGGUGCUGGAAAUAUUUACUAUAGUGCUGGCACAUAAACCAAGAGCUAUCAGACUUUAAUGCUUUUUUCCCUAAACUUUUUAUAGGCUUUCAUUUUUAAUUGUUGCCAAUCUGCUGAUUUUAUUUUAAAUAGAUACUUCAAGGCUGUGCUUUGUCAAAACAGACAGAUGUAUCAUUAAAUUCCCUCCCAAAUUACACAUUAGGCAAUGUCUUUGUUUCAUGUGCUACAGAGGUAUUUGAAUUUGUUAUAAUCUGGAGUUAAACAGGAGGCCAGAGAGCUGAUUUUCAGAGCAAAAUACUCUAUAAUUUAGAAUUGAUUGCUGUGAUUGCGUAUAGUUUGGUGAAAUGCACAUUGGCCAAAGUGAAGGUGGGCAUGGUUCUUUGUGCUCAUUCUUGUGGGUCAUAGGGGCAUGGUUUUGUUGGAAGAGUCUAGUGGAAGAGUCCAUAUCAGAAAUCUCUGGGAUUGCUUUUCCCAUCUUUUAAUCAUCUCUUUAAAGAAAAGAGUGAGGAAUAUUGAAAAGUGAUUCUCAAAUAUUUCUUUUCAAUUGGAUUAUGUAGUAGUUUCCAAUGGCUGCUGUUACAAAUUACCAAAAAUGUAGUGGCUUAAAACAACACAAAUUUAGAAUCUUACAGCUCUGCAGAAGUCUGAAAUGGGUCUUACUGGGCCAAAAUUAAGGCAUCAGCCGAGCUGCAUUUGUUCUGGGGGCUUGAAGAGAAAAUUUAUUUCCUUGUUCUUCCAGCUUCUAAAAACUGCACACCUUGGCUCAUGGCCCUUCCUUCAUCUUCAAAGCUAGGAGGGUACCAUCUUCAAACCUUCUCUUACUCUGACCUUCUUGAUCCAUUUUUCGCUUCUAAGAACCCUUGAAAUUACAUUGAAUUCCUCCACAAAAUACAGGAUAAUAUCCCUCCUGCAAUAUCCUAAACUAUCUCAUUUUCAAAGUCCCUUUUGCCAUGUAAGGUUACAUUUUCACAGGUUCUAGGGAUUAGGAUCUGGACACCUUUGUCAGGUAGUUAUUCUGCCUUCUAUGGGUUAUGUAUCUAAUGGAUGCGUAUUAAGCAAUUUCUGUGUGUAAGGCUUUUUUAAAAAAGGUGAAAGCUCGUGAUAGAUUUUCUUCCAGCCUGGACAACUAAGUCUGGAAAACAUCUUUUAAACAAACAAAUCUAGUUAAUGGUUUUAACAAAUGUAAAGAAGUGGAGGCCAUUUUGAGGAAAGGAGCCUAUUUUUCAAUAACAGAGGCAUCUAAGUAAAUUGAAGCUUUAUGAGAACUAGAUGCAUAUUGUUGCCCAUUGUACCCACCUGAUAAUACGCAAGACAGUGAUGCUACAAUAUUCUUUAGUGACCUCUUGUUUUCUCAUCCCAUAAAGAAAAUCCAAGACCGAAAUCUCAGAAUUGGGAGAGUAAAAGUUCAAAAGAAAGGAAAAGAAAAGAAAAGAAAAGAAAAGAAAAGCGAAAGAAAGAGAGAGAAAGAAAGCAAGCCUGAUUAUCUUGUUCACAUUCUGGUUCACCUGGUUCAAAGGUUGAGGUUAAAAUAUUAUCCUAAAAAGCUUCUGAGGCCUCACCAGAAGAUGAACAAAUGUUGGUGCCAUGAUUGUACAGCCUGAAGAACCAUGAGCCAAAAUAAACGUCUUUUCUUUAUAAAUAA